UGAUUUCUCUAGAGGGGCGAGGGUGAUUCAGAUCUUCGUUCCUGAAAUUAGGAAGAUAGUUAGAGGCUGAUUACCAUCAAACAUAAGAGGAAAAAUUACAACAGCAUAAAUAUACUCAAACCAUACUUCGUUCUGCUUGGACUUUCACAUUGACACCGAUUGAUCGUUUUCAUCAUCACUGCUGGAGCUCUCUUCAGAACUGUCAUCAUCACCACUGCUUUCUUUCUUGGCAACCUUAGAGACCAAAAUCUUCAGAUGAAAAAGCAAACACCAAAAAUUCCUUAGGCUUCUUUAGUGCAGGCUCUUCAUCACUCUCAUCAGAACUAUCAUCAGAAUCAUCCUUGGACUGCAAAUAUUGAAUUACAACAAGAUCAAUUAAUGUACAACAAAUAUCACAGAAGACAAUGCUUUCAAGAAAAUAAAAUUUAAAAAAUAAUGCGUACAUGUUCACUCUUUUUCUCUGUUGUCAGAAGCCUCUUAGCAGGAAUAGUAGAUUUUGCUGGCUGCAAAACAUUGGAAGGAAUUUUAAACAUUGCACAACAAAAAAGUGACCAGGAGUAAGCAAGUAACAGAACACUUACUUCAUCAGAAUCGGAAUCCGAGUCAUUAUCUGAGCUACCACUAGAUUCUUCUUUCUUUACAGAAACUGUUUUAGCAGU
Molecule: long non-coding RNA, 659 nt
Filed under: Triticum aestivum (bread wheat)
Lineage: Eukaryota; Viridiplantae; Streptophyta; Magnoliopsida; Poales; Poaceae
Description: long non-coding RNA (TAES_LNC008546)
Source: RNAcentral